UACAGAGGGGGCAAGCGUUAUUCGGAAUUACUGGGCGUAAAGGGCGCGUAGGCGGUUUUUUAAGUCGGAUGUGUAAUCCCCGAGCUCAACUUGGGAACUGCAUCCGAAACUGGGAAGCUAGAGUACUGGAGAGGGUGGUAGAAUUCCACGUGUAGCGGUGAAAUGCGUAGAGAUGUGGAGGAAUACCAGUGGCGAAGGCGGCCACCUGGACAGUAACUGACGCUGAGGCGCGAAAGUGUGGGGAGCAAAC
Molecule: ribosomal RNA, 250 nt
Filed under: uncultured bacterium
Lineage: Bacteria
Description: partial 16S ribosomal RNA
Rfam family: Bacterial small subunit ribosomal RNA
Source: RNAcentral